GAUGAACGCUGGCGGCGUGCUUAACACAUGCAAGUCGAACGGAAAGGCCUCUGCUUGCAGGGGUACUCGAGUGGCGAACGGGUGAGUAACACGUGGGUGAUCUGCCCUGCACUUCGGGAUAAGCCUGGGAAACUGGGUCUAAUACCGGAUAGGACAAUGGUUUGGAUGCCGUUGUGGAAAGUUUUUCGGUGUGGGAUGAGCUCGCGGCCUAUCAGCUUGUUGGUGGGGUAAUGGCCUACCAAGGCGACGAUACAUAGCCGACCUGAGAGGGUGAUCGGCCACACUGGGACUGAGACACGGCCCAGACUCCUACGGGAGGCAGCAGUAGGGAAUCUUCGGCAAUGGACGGAAGUCUGACCGAGCAACGCCGCGUGAGUGAAGAAGGUUUUCGGAUCGUAAAGCUCUGUUGUAAGAGAAGAACGAGUGUGAGAGUGGAAAGUUCACACUGUGACGGUAUCUUACCAGAAAGGGACGGCUAACUACGUGCCAGCAGCCGCGGUAAUACGUAGGCCCCGAGCGUUGUCCGGAUUUAUUGGGCGUAAAGCGAGCGCAGGCGGUUAGAUAAGUCUGAAGUUAAAGGCUGUGGCUUAACCAUAGUACGCUUUGGAAACUGUUUAACUUGAGUGCAAGAGGGGAGAGUGGAAUUCCAUGUGUAGCGGUGAAAUGCGUAGAUAUAUGGAGGAACACCGGUGGCGAAAGCGGCUCUCUGGCUUGUAACUGACGCUGAGGCUCGAAAGCGUGGGGAGCAAACAGGAUUAGAUACCCUGGUAGUCCACGCCGUAAACGAUGAGUGCUAGGUGUUGGACCCUUUCCGGGGUUUAGUGCCGCAGCUAACGCAUUAAGCACUCCGCCUGGGGAGUACGACCGCAAGGUUGAAACUCAAAGGAAUUGACGGGGGCCCGCACAAGCGGUGGAGCAUGUGGUUUAAUUCGAAGCAACGCGAAGAACCUUACCAGGUCUUGACAUCCCUCUGACCGCUCUAGAGAUAGAGUUUUCCCUCGGGACAGAGGUGACAGGUGGUGCAUGGUUGUCGUCAGCUCGUGUCGUGAGAUGUUGGGUUAGGUCCCGCAACGAGCGCAACCCCUAUUGUUAGUUGCCAUCAUUCAGUUGGGCACUCUAGCGAGACUGCCGGUAAUAAACCGGAGGAAGGUGGGGAUGACGUCAAAUCAUCAUGCCCCUUAUGACCUGGGCUACACACGUGCUACAAUGGCUGGUACAACGAGUCGCAAGCCGGUGACGGCAAGCUAAUCUCUUAAAGCCAGUCUCAGUUCGGAUUGUAGGCUGCAACUCGCCUACAUGAAGUCGGAAUCGCUAGUAAUCGCGGAUCAGCACGCCGCGGUGACUACGUUCCCGGGCCU
This 1358-nucleotide ribosomal RNA is filed under the name uncultured bacterium. RNAcentral's name for it is "bacterial SSU rRNA". It matches the Rfam family "Bacterial small subunit ribosomal RNA", at positions 28 to 1381 of the family's 1533-position model. The record is from RNAcentral.